CCUACUGGUGGCAGCAGUGGGGGAUAUUGCACAAUGGGGGAAACCCUGAUGCAGCGACGCCGCGUGUGGGAAGACGGUCCUCUGUAUUGUAAACCACUGUCCCCAGGGACGAAGAUGACGGUACCUGGGGAGGAAGCUCCGGCCAACUACGUGCCAGCAGCCGCGGUAAGUCGGAGGGAGCGAGCGUUGUCCGGAAUUACGGGGUGUAAAGGGAGCGGAGGCGGGACUGCAAGUCGGGUGUCAAAUCUACCGGCUCAACCGGUAGCCGCACUCAAAACUGCGGGUCUCGAGUGAAGUAGAGGCAGGCGGAAUUCCUAGUGUAGCGGUGAAAUGCGUAGAUAUUAGGAGGAACACCAGUGGCGAAGGCGGCCUGCUGG
This 377-nucleotide ribosomal RNA is filed under the name uncultured bacterium. Its description in RNAcentral is "partial 16S ribosomal RNA". It matches the Rfam family "Bacterial small subunit ribosomal RNA", at positions 338 to 732 of the family's 1533-position model. The record is from RNAcentral.